AUGAUGGAAACUGGAGUUAAUUGCCAGAGACAGAGCGUCAGAGUUCAGAUUAUGCAUACCCAAGUCAAGCUUGUGGUCACGAUGAAGGUGCUGAUCUGGGUUUCCUAUCUUCAGAACUUAGUGCAGAGCCCAGCCCCAGCAGCAGAGGCUAUGCCGGCAAGCAGGGCAGCAGCGUUGCCUCUAGCGCCAGCAUCGAGGAGCCUUACCCAACCCCCGCGCCAUGGACUCGUGCGCGGCAAGAAGCACGCCAACGAGACCAAGAAGGUGGCCAUGGCUGGGCUCGUUCACUAUUCGUUCAACUUCAGAGCUCAUCAGGUUGAAGGCGCUAAGGUGUUGGAGAUGUGCCUGUACUUGUUGAGUGUUUUAUCUGUAGAGGGCUAUAUUGUGAUUGGUGUAAUAUUGUAUGGUUAUAUUGUGAUUGGUGGAAUGUAA
RNAcentral lists this ribosomal RNA (432 nucleotides) under Triticum aestivum (bread wheat). Its description in RNAcentral is "partial small subunit ribosomal RNA". The record is from RNAcentral. Lineage: Eukaryota; Viridiplantae; Streptophyta; Magnoliopsida; Poales; Poaceae.